CGGGUGGAUGAGUGGCGAACGGGUGAGUAACACGUGAGUACCUGCCCCCUUCCUUUGGGAUAACGCCCGGAAACGGGUGCUAAUACUGGAUAUUCACUGGCCUUCGCAUGGGGGUUGGUGGAAAGGUUUGUUCUGGUGGGGGAUGGGCUCGCGGCCUAUCAGCUUGUUGGUGGGGUGAUGGCCUACCAAGGCUUUGACGGGUAGCCGGCCUGAGAGGGUGACCGGUCACAUUGGGACUGAGAUACGGCCCAG
This 252-nucleotide ribosomal RNA is filed under the name uncultured bacterium. RNAcentral describes it as "partial 16S ribosomal RNA". It matches the Rfam family "Bacterial small subunit ribosomal RNA", at positions 84 to 334 of the family's 1533-position model. The record is from RNAcentral.